This 71-nucleotide transfer RNA is filed under the name Cordylochernes scorpioides. Its description in RNAcentral is "tRNA-Gly". It matches the Rfam family "tRNA". Rfam says of the family: Transfer RNA (tRNA) molecules are approximately 80 nucleotides in length. The record is from RNAcentral. Lineage: Eukaryota; Metazoa; Arthropoda; Arachnida; Pseudoscorpiones; Chernetidae.
GUAUCGGUGGUUCAGUGGUAGAAUGCUCGCCUGCCACACGGGUGGCCCGGGUUCGAUUCCCUACCGAUGCA